Long non-coding RNA from Mytilus californianus (California mussel), 625 nucleotides. RefSeq lists it as uncharacterized. Lineage: Eukaryota; Metazoa; Mollusca; Bivalvia; Mytilida; Mytilidae. The record is from RefSeq and is a predicted model, not a curated record. The transcript is spliced from 2 exons.
CGUCGUCAUCCGAAGACACAUUAGUUUUCGCACUCUAACUUUAGUUUAAGUGAAUGGAUCUCUAUGAAAUUUAACCAUAAGGUUCAAUACACACAAAAGGAAGGUGGGGAUUGAUUUUGGGGGUUAUGGUACCAACUGUUAAGGAAUUAGGGGCCAAAAAUAAGCAUUUUUGUAACUUCCAGACAUUACUUGUGUGUAAGUGUAUGGAUCUCUCUGACAUUGUACCACAAGGUUCCAUAUCACAAAGGGAAUGCUGGGAUUGAUUUUGGGGGUAAUUGCCUCCAAAUUUUAGGAAUUAGGGGCCAAAAAGGGGAAAAAAACAAGCAUUUUUCUAGUUUCAUGACAAUAACUUGUGUGUAAGUGUAUGGAUCUUUAUUAAAUUGUACUACAAGGUUCCAUAUCACAAAGGGAAAGCUGGAAUUGAGUUUGGGGGUAAUUACCAAAAAAGUUUAGGAAUAAGGGGCAAAAAAGGGGCCAAAAAUAAGCAUUUUUCUAAUUUCCAGACAAUUACUUGUGUUCAAGUGUAUGGAUCUCUCUAAAAUUGUACUGUAAGGUACCAUACCACAAAGGGAAGGCUGGGAUUGAUUUUGGGGUUAAUUCCCUCAAAAUUUUAGGAAUUAGGGGC